UACGUAGGGUCCAAGCGUUAAUCGGAAUUACUGGGCGUAAAGCGUGCGCAGACGGUCACGUAAGUCAGUGCUGAAAUAUCCCGGCUUAACCGGGAGGGUGGCAUUGAUACUGCAGGGCUUGAGUAAAGUUGAGGUUGGCGGAAUUGACGGUGUAGCGGUGAAAUGCUUAGAUAUCGUCAAGAACACCGAUAGUGAAGACAGCUAACUAAGCUUUAACUGACGCUGAGGCACGAAAGUGUGGGGAUCAAACAGG
This 253-nucleotide ribosomal RNA is filed under the name uncultured bacterium. Its description in RNAcentral is "partial 16S ribosomal RNA". It matches the Rfam family "Bacterial small subunit ribosomal RNA", at positions 524 to 776 of the family's 1533-position model. The record is from RNAcentral.